UACGGGGGGGGUAAGCGUUGUUCGGAAUUACUGGGCGUAAAGGGCUCGUAGGCGGCCAACUAAGUCAUACGUGAAAUCCCUCAGCUUAACUGGGGAACUGCGUGUGAUACUGGAUGGCUUGGAUUUGGGAGAGGGAUGCGGAAUUCCAGGUGUAGCGGUGAAAUGCGUAGAUAUCUGGAGGAACACCGGUGGCGAAGGCGACAUCCUGGACCGGCAUUGACGCUGAGGCGCGAAAGCCAGGGGAGCAAACGGG
RNAcentral lists this ribosomal RNA (253 nucleotides) under uncultured bacterium. RNAcentral describes it as "partial 16S ribosomal RNA". It matches the Rfam family "Bacterial small subunit ribosomal RNA", at positions 524 to 776 of the family's 1533-position model. The record is from RNAcentral.